CACCCCUCAAGCUCUGCUUGGUGUUGGGCCUCUGUCGCGCCUCGUCGCGCCGACUGGCCUCAAAUGCUUCGGCAGCCUCCUUUGCCAGCCCUCUCAGCGCAGCAGUUCGCGCCUGUGAGCCGGCGGGAGAGCCGCCUCCAUCGAAACCCCCCAAA
This 155-nucleotide unclassified non-coding RNA is filed under the name uncultured Dothideomycetes. Its description in RNAcentral is "sequence contains ITS2". The record is from RNAcentral. Lineage: Eukaryota; Fungi; Ascomycota; Dothideomycetes.